Molecule: long non-coding RNA, 159 nt
Filed under: Polistes fuscatus (common paper wasp)
Lineage: Eukaryota; Metazoa; Arthropoda; Insecta; Hymenoptera; Vespidae
Description: uncharacterized LOC122518627
Source: RNAcentral
UGCACGUUCUUGGCGUUAGCCGGCACGUUGCCGGAACGACAAACGGCACGACCUUGAAGCUAAGCUGAGCGCAUCCGUAUCAACGCAAUCGCGAAUCACGUCCUUCAAACUGCACAUAAAAUGGUCGUUCGGGCCGGUCCAGCUUUUACCGCAAAACCG